AGGCUUUUUUUAAAAGAAACUACAUCUAAAUUGCCGGAAAAAUCUUUACAGUGUUAAACGACGAACAUAUAGCAUAGUAGACAAGAGACAUACAUUAAGGUAGUAAAUUUAUGAAUACAGAAUAAAGGCGUAAUUUUAAAGGAACUGCGAAUGAGGAAAGCGCGCCAAAGUAACUGAAAUCUUAACUUGGCUUUGUUUAUUUUAUAAUACUUUGAUAUAUUUUGUCGACAUUCAUGAUUUGUGCCUAUUACCACCUAUGGAGAGAAACGCUGGAAGAAAUACGAUGUAAUUCUUAUCAGACAUUGAUAAAAGAUUUUUUCAAGUUUCAUCAGAAUGUCGGGAUUUACUGUUUGAUGCUUGCGAGUCGCUUUGAAAAGGCAUAUUUAAAUGGGGCACUUCAUCUUCUGAAGUAGAAUCAGAAUAAUAAAAUUGCUGCCCAGAAUCAUUUCUGUCCCCUUGAAAUGCGCAUAAACGUCUCCGCUUUUGACUCUGAGAGAGUGUGGCAAACUUUUUAUUUUUUCAAUUGUCCAUCAUUUCUCUGCUCUGCCGUUAUUUCUUUUAAAGUCCUUACUCUGUCAAGUUAAAAGAACACCAAUUAAUAAAAUUUACGAGGUCUAUUAACUUAACUUAUAUGUAGGUUUAUGGGCAAGUACCAGAGUCUCAUAGACAUAUUGAAAGGUUGCAGUACGAACUAGUUAACAAACAAAAUCGGAAUUUUCCAGGACAGGGAAUUAACAUUGUGUAAAAUCGAAAUCAACAUUAAAAGAUGGACUAGUGCUGCCAGAGCGUGGAUGAAAUUUACCCCCACCAUAUCUACCGUUUGGGAGCCGAAAAACAGAAGGUGCAUGAUUACCACUGUGAGUUUGUGUUUAAGCCGA
Molecule: long non-coding RNA, 878 nt
Organism: Belonocnema kinseyi
Lineage: Eukaryota; Metazoa; Arthropoda; Insecta; Hymenoptera; Cynipidae
Exons: 3
Source: RefSeq, a predicted model, not a curated record